This 148-nucleotide non-coding RNA is filed under the name Pan troglodytes (chimpanzee). Lineage: Eukaryota; Metazoa; Chordata; Mammalia; Primates; Hominidae. The record is from Rfam by way of RNAcentral.
GCUGGGUGUGGUGGCGUGCACCUGUAACCCCGGCUACUCGGGAGGCUGAGGCAGGAGAAUUGCUCGAACCUGGGAGGCGGAGGUUGCAGUGCGCCAAGAUCACGCCACUGCACUCCAGCCCGGGCAACAGAGUGAGACUCUGUCUCUA